Molecule: ribosomal RNA, 497 nt
Filed under: uncultured bacterium
Lineage: Bacteria
Description: partial 16S ribosomal RNA
Rfam family: Bacterial small subunit ribosomal RNA
Source: RNAcentral
GAUGAACGCUGGCGGCGUGCCUAAUACAUGCAAGUCGAGCGAACAGACGAGGAGCUUGCUCCUCUGACGUUAGCGGCGGACGGGUGAGUAACACGUGGAUAACCUACCUAUAAGACUGGGAUAACUUCGGGAAACCGGAGCUAAUACCGGAUAAUAUAUUGAACCGCAUGGUUCAAUAGUGAAAGACGGUUUUGCUGUCACUUAUAGAUGGUUCCGCGCCGCAUUAGCUAGUUGGUAAGGUAACGGCUUACCAAGGCAACGAUGCGUAGCCGACCUGAGAGGGUGAUCGGCCACACUGGAACUCAGACACGGUCCAGACUCCUACGGGAGGCAGCAGUAGGGAAUCUUCCGCAAUGGGCGAAAGCCUGACGGAGCAACGCCGCGUGAGUGAUGAAGGUCUUCGGAUCGUAAAACUCUGUUAUUAGGGAAGAACAAAUGUGGAAGUAACUAUGCACGUAUUGACGGUACCGAAUCAGAAAGCCACGGCUAACUACGUG